RNAcentral lists this ribosomal RNA (775 nucleotides) under uncultured Neocallimastigales. Its description in RNAcentral is "partial large subunit ribosomal RNA". It matches the Rfam family "Eukaryotic large subunit ribosomal RNA", at positions 23 to 616 of the family's 3401-position model. The record is from RNAcentral. Lineage: Eukaryota; Fungi; Neocallimastigomycota; Neocallimastigomycetes; Neocallimastigales.
UAGAGAGAGACAUGCGCGCAUAUCAAUAAGCGGAGGAAAAGAAACUAACAAGGAUUCCCCUAGUAACGGCGAGUGAAGCGGGAAGAGCUCAAAUUUGAAAUCUUAAAGGGUUUCCCUUUACGAAUUGUAGUUUAAAGAAGUGUUUUCUGUUGAGGUUUUGGUAAAAGUUCUUUGGAAUAGGACAUCAUAGAGGGUGAGAAUCCCGUAUUUGACCUUUACUUUCAACUUUGUGAUACACUUUCAAAGAGUCGGAUUGUUUGGGAAUGCAGUCCAAAAUGGGUGGUAAAUUUCAUCUAAAGCUAAAUAUUGGCGAGAGACCGAUAGCGAACAAGUACCGUGAGGGAAAGAUGAAAAGAACUUUGAAAAGAGAGUUAAACAGUACGUGAAAUUGUCAAAAGGGAAGCGUUUGACACCAGUGUUGCUUUUCUGAAAAUCAAUUAAAGAACUGUUUAUGCUAAGUUGUUUAGACUUUAUCAGCUAUCUGUUUAGUUUUGAGCUAUUCUUUAAUGCACUUUUCAGUUAACAAGUCAACAUCAAUUUCUUUUGCUGUAAAAAAGCUUGAGGAAGGUGGCUUGAGAUUCGUCUUAAGUGUUUAUAGCCUCUUGCCUAUGCAGUCGGAGAGAUUGAGGUCUGCAGCGUAGAUCCUUCGGGGCUAAAUGCAUUUGUGCUAAGUUAUAGCAUUUUAUAGACAACUUGUUGACUAUGAUUUGUCUUGUAGCUUACUCGCUUAUGUUAUUUUACCUACGCUUAGGAUGUUGAGCGCAUGUCUCUCUCU